This 506-nucleotide ribosomal RNA is filed under the name uncultured bacterium. RNAcentral's name for it is "partial 16S ribosomal RNA". It matches the Rfam family "Bacterial small subunit ribosomal RNA", at positions 28 to 523 of the family's 1533-position model. The record is from RNAcentral.
GAUGAACGCUAGCGGCAGGCCUAAUGCAUGCAAGUCGAACGGGAUCCAGAUCAAAGCUUGCUUUGGUUUGGUGAGAGUGGCGCACGGGUGCGUAACGCGUGAGCAACCUACCCUUGUCAGGGGGAUAGCCCGGCGAAAGUCGGAUUAAUACCGCAUGAAAUCAUUGAGAGGCAUCUUUCGAUGAUCAACGAUUUAUCGGACAAGGUUGGGCUCGCGGUACAUUAGCUAGUUGGUAAGGUAACGGCUUACCAAUGCUACGAUGUCGAGGGGCUCUGAGAGGAGAAUCCCCCACACUGGUACUGAGACACGGACCAGACUCCUACGGGAGGCAGCAGUAAGGAAUAUUGGUCAAUGAACGGAAGUCUGAACCAGCCAUGCCGCGUGCAGGAAGACGGCCCUAUGGGUUGUAAACUGCUUUUAUACGAGAACAAACGUCGGUACGUGUACCGGUCUGAGUGUACCGUAAGAAUAAGGAUCGGCUAACUCCGUGCCAGCAGCCGCGGUAA